UAGCUCAGAUGGUAAAGCAUCUGACUACAAUGCAGGAGACCCAGGUUCGAUCCCUGG
Molecule: transfer RNA, 57 nt
Filed under: Ovis aries (sheep)
Lineage: Eukaryota; Metazoa; Chordata; Mammalia; Artiodactyla; Bovidae
Rfam family: tRNA
About the family: Transfer RNA (tRNA) molecules are approximately 80 nucleotides in length. Their secondary structure includes four short double-helical elements and three loops (D, anti-codon, and T loops). Further hydrogen bonds mediate the characteristic L-shaped molecular structure. tRNAs have two regions of fundamental functional importance: the anti-codon, which is responsible for specific mRNA codon recognition, and the 3' end, to which the tRNAs corresponding amino acid is attached (by aminoacyl-tRNA synthetases). tRNAs cope with the degeneracy of the genetic code in two manners: having more than one tRNA (with a specific anti-codon) for a particular amino acid; and 'wobble' base-pairing, i.e. permitting non-standard base-pairing at the 3rd anti-codon position.
Source: Rfam by way of RNAcentral